AACGAACGCUGGCGGCAGGCCUAACACAUGCAAGUCGAACGAAGUCUUCGGACUUAGUGGCGCACGGGUGAGUAACACGUGGGAAUAUACCUUACGCUGGGGGAUAACAUCGGGAAACUGAUGCUAAUACCGCAUACGCCCUUCGGGGGAAAGAUUUAUCGGCGAAAGAUUAGCCCGCGUCCGAUUAGCUAGUUGGUGAGGUAAUGGCUCACCAAGGCUCCGAUCGGUAGCUGGUCUGAGAGGAUGACCAGCCACACUGGGACUGAGACACGGCCCAGACUCCUACGGGAGGCAGCAGUGGGGAAUAUUGGACAAUGGGCGCAAGCCUGAUCCAGCCAUGCCGCGUGAGUGAUGAAGGCCUUAGGGUUGUAAAGCUCUUUCACCCACGACGAUGAUGACGGUAGUGGGAGAAGAAGCCCCGGCUAACUGCGU
RNAcentral lists this ribosomal RNA (432 nucleotides) under uncultured bacterium. Its description in RNAcentral is "partial 16S ribosomal RNA". It matches the Rfam family "Bacterial small subunit ribosomal RNA", at positions 29 to 506 of the family's 1533-position model. The record is from RNAcentral.